UCAGGUGGUUGGAUGGCUGCCCUUUCUUUGGUAACGAAUUAAGGGAGGAAAGUCCGGGCUUCAUGGAUAUACGGUGCCGGAUAACGUCCGGCGAGGGAAACCUUAGGGAAAGUGCCACAGAAAGCAAACCGCCAUCACUUUUUUGAUGGCAAGGGUGAAAGGGUGCGGUAAGAGCGCACCGCCGAUUUGGCAACACGUCGGGCAUGGUAAACCCCACCGGAAGCAAGACCGAAUAGGAACGGACGGCAGAUUUAACGGGCUGCAAGCGCAUAUUCAAGCUACCGUUCGGGUGUGUCGCGUGAGGCGUUUGGCAACAAACGUCCCAGACGAAUAGCCAUCUAUCCUGUUUUACAGGGGGACAGAACCCGGCUUACAGACCACCUGACCUU
This 389-nucleotide RNase P RNA is filed under the name Methylocystaceae bacterium. RNAcentral describes it as "RNase P RNA component class A". It matches the Rfam family "Bacterial RNase P class A". From Rfam's summary of the family: Ribonuclease P (RNase P) is a ubiquitous endoribonuclease, found in archaea, bacteria and eukarya as well as chloroplasts and mitochondria. Its best characterised activity is the generation of mature 5'-ends of tRNAs by cleaving the 5'-leader elements of precursor-tRNAs. The record is from RNAcentral. Lineage: Bacteria; Pseudomonadati; Pseudomonadota; Alphaproteobacteria; Hyphomicrobiales; Methylocystaceae.